GUGCUCGCUUUGGCAGCACAUAUGCAAAAUUGGAACAAUACAGAGAAAAUUAGCAUGGCCCCUGCACAAAGAUGACACGCAGAUUCAUGAAGCGUCCCACUCUUUA
RNAcentral lists this small nuclear RNA (106 nucleotides) under Rhinolophus ferrumequinum (greater horseshoe bat). The record is from RNAcentral. Lineage: Eukaryota; Metazoa; Chordata; Mammalia; Chiroptera; Rhinolophidae.